CAUAUUAUUUGAUGUUGAUGACAAUUAAGUGAAAUAUCUAUUCAAUCUUUUUAUAUGAGAUUUAGUUAUCGAAUCAUUGGCGCUAACACAUUAAUCCAAAACGCUUAAACUUUUAGAAAUAUAUAAUCAGUUCACUUAAAGUAAAUAGAUAUAGUACCCACGAGUCUCGAUUGUAACUCGGCCCAAUCAGCCUCACGUCAUUUCGAACAUGAUUCGGUUUAGUCCGAUCUCCUACUAUUUCGAACAUGACUUGGUCCAACCUGACCUCCUGCCAUGAGGCCGCCGGAUGAUCGAU
Molecule: long non-coding RNA, 295 nt
Filed under: Ananas comosus (pineapple)
Lineage: Eukaryota; Viridiplantae; Streptophyta; Magnoliopsida; Poales; Bromeliaceae
Description: long non-coding RNA (ACOM_LNC021984)
Source: RNAcentral